RNAcentral lists this ribosomal RNA (95 nucleotides) under Sunetta concinna. RNAcentral's name for it is "partial 28S ribosomal RNA". It matches the Rfam family "Eukaryotic large subunit ribosomal RNA", at positions 1 to 93 of the family's 3401-position model. The record is from RNAcentral. Lineage: Eukaryota; Metazoa; Mollusca; Bivalvia; Venerida; Veneridae.
GCCGACCUCGGAUCAGACGAGUGUACCCGCUGAACUUAAGCAUAUCAGUAAGCGGAGGAGAAGAAACUAACAAGGAUUCCCUCAGUAACGGCGAG